RNAcentral lists this ribosomal RNA (875 nucleotides) under uncultured Caldisericota bacterium. RNAcentral describes it as "bacterial SSU rRNA". It matches the Rfam family "Bacterial small subunit ribosomal RNA", at positions 514 to 1380 of the family's 1533-position model. The record is from RNAcentral. Lineage: Bacteria; Pseudomonadati; Caldisericota.
GCCGCGGUAAUACGUAGGGGGCAAGCGUUAUCCGGAAUCACUGGGCGUAAAGGGUCCGCAGGUGUCCCGUUAAGUUAGAUGUUAAAUCGCAAGGCUCAACCUUGCGGCUGCAUCUAAUACUGACAGGAUAGAGGAUAGGUGACGGAAGUGGAAUUCCUGGUGGAGAGGUAAAAUCCGUAGAUAUCAGGAGGAACACCCGUGGCGUAGGCGGCUUCCGAACCUAUUCCUGACACUCAGGGACGAAAGCUAGGGGAGCAAACAGGAUUAGAUACCCUGGUAGUCCUAGCUGUAAACGAUGAAUACUAGAUAGUGGGUGCUACACCGUACUCACCGUCGUAGCUAACGCGUUAAGUAUUUCGCCUGGGAACUACGAUCGCAAGUUUGAAACUCAAAGGAAUUGACGGGUCCCCGCACAAGCAGCGAGGCAUGUGGCUUAAUUCGAUGCAACACGAAGAACCUUACCUGGACUUGACAUGUUUCUGAAAGGCCGGAGAAACCCGGUCCCUUCCAGUUUACUGGAACAGUUUCACAGGUGGUGCAUGGUUGUCGUCAGCUCGUGUCGUGAGAUGUAAGGUUAAGUCCUUAAACGAGCGUAACCUUUGUCAUUAGUUGCCACCGGUUCGGCCGAGCACUCUAAUGAGACCGCUAGCGACAAGCUAGAGGAAGAUGGAGAUGACGUCAAAUCCUCACGUCCCUUAUGUCCAGGGCCGCACACAUGCGACAAUGGUAGAGACAGCGGGUUGCGACGGGGUAACCCUGAGCUAAUCCAUAAACUCUGCCUCAGUACAGAUCGAGGGCUGAAAUUCGACCUCGUGAAGAUGGAGUUGCUAGUAAACGCCAGGUCAGCUAUACUGCGUUGAAUACGUUCCCGGGGA